GCCCCAGCCUGUAAGCCGCGCCGAGCCGAGCCGUGCGGGCCGGAGCCGCCCGGGCCCGGUCUCCAAGAGGCUCGACACGGGGCCACGUGGGCCAGGUCCAAUCCCCGCCCCGGGCUAGCGCGGAAGCGCGCGGAGGGGGGCCCCGCGCAGCCAGCUCCGGCUACCGGCAGCCUCCGUGCUCCGGGCCUGGCCCGGACCAAUUCCCCGUUGAAUUACAUCCGUGCCAGUGUCUUCAUUAUGCAAAUGUCGGCUCCGUCCCGCCUGCCCUUGCCUGGAGCCCGUCCGAGCAAAGCCGGUACAGCCCCAGGGCUGUUUCCCGUGCAACCCCCCCCUCCCGCCCCCGCCCCAAGACAAGCUUCAGACAGCGAGUCUAACGUCUCCGGCAGGUAAGCGGGUGUUAUGCGGGGUGCCCAGAUUUCCCGCUGCUGAAAAUGCGGCGACGCCGGGCAGCCUGGUGACAGCGCUACCCCAGAAGAAGCUCCCCAACCCCGAGCUGGUGGAGGGGGUGAGAAAGGUCCAUGAGACAUCAGGCUUUUCCCCCAUCAGAAAAAGCUCACGCUCAGUGGGGUGCAGGGGUCACCAGUAGUGUGGCAGUGUACAGUGAGAAGGGAGGCGUUGGGGCAGUUUAAACCCCAGGGUCCUGUAGACCCUAAAACCAGCAUUUAUCCUCGUGCAAAAUGAGCAUUACUUGGGGGGGUCUUGGAUGUGAAGAAUGCCUGGGGGGGCCCUAAGCCCUUUUUUCAACCGGUUUAAACCUAUAAAUAGGGACAGAAAACUGGACAAGGCUGUUAAAGAAACACCACUGAUACAAGACUUUUGGUGUCAUGGGAAGAAACGAUAUGACUUAUCAAGUGUUAUCCCUGAAGAAGAAACGUUGAAGGGGACCAAGAAAUUUCCCUCUGAAUCAGCGACAGUUGGAAUCAAGGGUAUUAGACACUUCGAUUUUGAGCAGCCCAGCACAUCCAAUUCCAUUGUUACACAGAACCAACUGUCUUUAAAAAGGGCCAAAAAAUCUACUACUGAAACAACAGCAGUUGGGAGCAAGGGGGUCAGACUCCCCGAUUUGGAACCACCCUGCACCACCAGGGCCAAAAAAUCUACCUCUGCAGCUUCCAGGGACACUGGUUAAGCGAUCCAAAGGGAUUAAAACCCCUAGUUCUCAACAACCCCAAGCCUUUAUAGCCCCAAAGGAACCAGCUUUAAAAAGGGUAAAGGCAACAAUCCUGUAGCAGCACCUGUGUCCAGGGGUGGAUUUGAGCAGAGUCAAGAGGCCAGCCCCCCGGCUUCUGGGCAAAGCAGAACCUCUGCUACAAAUAAGAACCACCCCGUAGGUCUUGCUGCAUCAGUUGUUGUUUGUAAUGAGCUGUUUAGUGUUUGUAGAUCUCUUAAGCGUUUAACAGAUAAAAAGUUUUUGAAGCUAAUUCUUGAGGUGUUUCAAAAGCAAAAUGCUCCAGAAGAAAGGCUGGUUUUGGACCAAAAGAUAACAGAGACCCGUGCACUGCUUGAAAAGUUGGAAAGCAUGUUAAAGGCGGAAGGGAGGGUGUGACUAAACAUGAAACCUAAAAACAUAAAGAGGGGUUGGAGGAAAAAUGGAAGAGAUCUAAAAAAUUGAGGAGGCUUUUGGCCAAAAACCUUUAAAAAGCCAGAGUUAUUUUAAGAAAACAAUCCCCCAACCAGGAAAGGGAAAUAGACAUAGACCCCUCGACCCCCUUUUCUGAAGGUCCAGAUUCUCCCGCUCCUAAUAUACCACCUCCGGUGUAUUUGGAACAUGUAAGACACUGGAUAAGACCCUGAAGAGAGUUUAACGCUUAUGAAUAUUUUCAAGAAUUUCGUUUCACUAAUUUGGACAGAGUAAUGGGUUUACAGAGGCCAUGGCGGCCGUUGACACCACUAUUCAAAAUUUGCUAGAUGAUAUUAAUAAUCAGGUGGGCCCUGAAGAUUUAGUACAGCUACGCUUAGAUGCCCUGGGGCUAAAUCACCCACUUUUUUCUCUAUGGAGACCUUGGGAAGAUUUAAACACCGUAGAUUUUUUAAAUAACAUCAUUACGGUGUUGCAAAGUAACGCUGAGAUUGUUGGGUUCGUAUCUCUAAGACUGGUUGUUAUGAUUAUUAGAAACAGGGCUGGUGGAGGUGGGGUUGUAAGACCCUUAAAAACUAUCACAUACAGUAAAAUCAUUGGGAAAAAAAGAAAACAUUUAAUUGAUUUAAAUAACCAAGGUAACAAUCUGUGUUUUGCUGGUAGCAUGCUGCAUCUUUUAUCAGAUGAAAAACUUACAGAUGCCCAGAGGGGGCCAGGCAUUUCCAUCAGGAGUUGGGGUCUUCGGACCAAAAAAUGAUUAGCUUUACCAACGUGAGCUCUUUUGAAGAGUGCUUAGGCCUGGCUAUUACCUUUAUGUAUCCUGAAAAUGGAAAUUGGUCCUUUUUUACAACGGCUGGUGUACAGUGCCCCAAUACUGUUUUUGUUCUGUUACAUGACAAACAUUAUUAUGGCAUCCUAAAUAUUAAAGCCUUUAUAGGCGCACGGUAUUUGUGCAACUACUGUUACGCCACGUGCAGCCACAAACAUCAGCAUGCCUGUAAAAAUCACUGUCGUACGUGUAAUAGCACUGAGUGCCUAGAAGUGGCCACUGAAAAAAAAAGAUGCCCCAGCUGUAAGCUAUUUUGCAGGUCCAAGGCCUGUUUAGAAAGGCACAGCGCUCUGGUAAAAGAUGGUAAAGUUGAUUGUAAAAACAGAAGUCUUUGCGAUAAGUGCGGCAUCUAUGAGGUUAAAAAUCACAGGUGUAAAAGCAAAAAAUGUCCCCAGUGCUAUCAGAAGACCGACAACAUAGAGGGUCACGAGUGUUAUAUGCGUAAUAUUUGGUCUCCAGAAGAAGGGAAGGAUUAUGUGUUUUAUGAUUUUGAAUGCAUGCAAGAAAUGGGGGUACACGUGCCAAAUUCUGUUUAUGCCUUGCACCUAGAUAAAGAAACCAGCUGGGAAUUUAAGGGUGAAGAAUGCAUGAACGAGUUUGUUUGAACCUUCAUAGACAAACGCUUUAAGGGAUACACAUUUAUCACUCAUAACGCUAAAGGUUACAAUUGUUAUUUUAUCCUUAGACAGUUGAUUAAAGAAAAAAAAUGGCCGUCAGCCCCGUAACGCAAGGUAGGAAACUAAUGUGCGUAACGGUGGUGGACUUAGACAUCAGAUUUAUAGAUUCUUUAAAUUUUCUUCUCAUGAAACUUAGCAAGUUACCCAAAGCUGUGGGGUUUGAGGAAGUCAAGGGGUACUUUCCACAAUUUUUUAACACAGCUGAAAAUCAGAACUAUGUGGGACCUAUGCCCGGGAUAAAGUACUUUGGAGUAGAAUACAUAAUGCGUGAAGAAAGAAAGGAAUUUCUGAACUGGUUCCAACACAAUCACCAGAACAAAUUCGAUCUCCAGAAAGAACUGCGCUAUUGUUGCCAAAAAGAUGUUGAAAGUUUGCGAGAGGCUUGCGAACAGUUCCCAGAAAUGAAGUCAUAAAAAUGACCGAGAAGCAGAUUGUUAAAAGCCCAGGACAGGAUGAGGAGGAGGUGGUCACUAAGUGUAUAGACCCCUUUCAGGUUUCAGAGUAGCAGCCGUGUUAGUCUGUAUUCGCAAAAAGAAAAGAGGACUUGUGGCACCUUAGAGACUAACAAAUUUAUUAGAGCAUAAGCUUUCCUGAGCUACAGCUCACUUCAUCGGAUGCAUUUGGUGGAAAACUUUCAGUACCUUACAUUAGCCUCGAUUUGCAUGGCCAUGUACUGGUUUAAUUUUUUAAAACUGCAAACCAUAGCCCUUCUGCCAUUAGACAAUUACCACAAACAGCAGAAGAGAUAUUCCAUCCCGGCCAUUCAAUGGUUGCUGUACGUAGCCCACACUGAGAACAUUUACAUCCAACACGCAUUGCAGGGUGGGGAGGUUAAAGCGGGGGUCCUAUUUUCUGGAUGAUUACAUUGUCAUAGCAGGUAAACCCACAGCCUUUGAAUUUAACAGAUUUUUUUUUUCACGACUGCCCUGUCUGCUGUUGUGAAAAUGAUUACAAUCCGUUGCUUCAUGCGACCUACGGACACGUGUACAAGCGAACCCUGAUUAAGGCAGAAUUUCUAAAAAGACAGGGGGUUGAGGUAAGGACCGUGUGGGAACACGAAUGGCAGGCUAUGCUAGCUAAUGAUAACCAGGGGAAGGGGGGGAUUUGCCACAGCCUUUGGUUCCUAGAGACGCCCUUUACGGUGUAGAACGAAUGCCAUCUGCCUUUAUUACAAACCGCAGCCCGGGGAGCAGAUUCAUGACUAUGAUUUUACCAGCCUCUACCCUUGUGUUAACAAGACUAAACAAUACCCUGUGGGACGCCCCAUUAUUGUGUAUGAGGGUUUUGGGGAUAUCAGACAGGACUUUGGCAUCACCAAGGUUAAAUUGUACCCUCCGAGAGACAGGUUUCAGAGCAGCAGCCGUGUUAGUCUGUAUUCGCAGAAUAUUCGAAAGAAAAGGAGGACUUGUCUCUAAGGUGCCACAAGUACUCCUUUUCUUCCUCCGAGAGACCUGUAUUGCCCCGUAUUACCAUAUAGGGUCGGUGGUAAACUAAUGUUCCCCGUGUGCCAUUUGUGCAGAAACAAAACAAAAGGACCCCUGCACACACAGUCAGGAGGAGAGGGCUUUAACAGGAACUUGGUGCACAAUAGAGUUGGUGGAGGCUUUAGACAAAGGGUACAGAAUUGCUGAGAAUUAUGAAGUCUGGCAUUUUAACCGCUCUUCAGAUGCCCUGUUUUCAGACUACAUUAAAACACACCUGAGACAGAAACAAAAGGCCUCGGAGUUGGAAGUACGCAAAAGAGCGCUGCACCCAUUCCAGCAACACUAAUGUGUUUAUAGUGUGCUUGACCGUCGCUUAUGCCAGGCUAGAGCACUACCGCCUGUUAGACCGCUUACAGGAGCAAUGUCUUUAUCAAGACACGGACUCUGUAAUUUUUGUGAGUAAAGAAGGGGAGUGGAACCCACCCCUAGGGGAUUAUUUAGGGGAUCUGACCAGCGAAAUGCCACCAGAUGAACACAUCGUGGAUUUUGUGUCCGCUGGGCUUAAAACAUAUGAGUACAAACUGUCCAGCAGUAAGACCUGUAUGAAAGUAAAAGGGAUCACGCUCAACUCAGGGAAUAGUGAGAAAAUUAAUUUUAAAAGCUUAAAAGAACUCGUCUGGGAUUACCCCGCGGGAGAGAUCCCAAAAGAUAUUGUGGCACAGCAGCCAGGAAUCGUAAGGGUAAAAAAGCACUGGUUGAUAGAAACGGGAACUCUGAAAAAAAACCAAAAAGUCGUUUACUACAAAAGAGCCAUCGAAACAGAUUUUAAAACCUUGCCAUGUGGGUAUUGAUUAUUAUGAAAAGCCACAUUCAGUUUGUUCACCCCUUUUCUUGUUUGCUUUGUGGCCCCUCAAAUUCUGGAAAAUCAUUUUUUAUAAAGCAAUUGUUAGAAAAUGGUAAUAAGUUGUUAUCGUGUAUGCCUGAAAAUAUUUUGUGGUGUUCCAGCUAUUGGCAACUGUUGUAUAAAGAGUUGCUGCAAAAAUUUCCAUGUAUUAUGUUUUUGGAAGGUUUACCUAAGACUUUUAAUGAUGAACAUUUAUUUCCUAGUAAUAAAGUAAAUAUGGUUAUUAUAGAUGAUCUAAUGGAGUCUGCUUCUGAAAGUGGCGAAAUCGAAAAAGCCUCUACAAAAUACAUACACCACAAAAACCUAAGUAUUAUGUACAUUGUGCAAAACGUGUUUUGUCAGGGUAAAAAAAGCCGAACAAUUAAUUUAAAUACUAAGUAUAUGGU
Molecule: long non-coding RNA, 5799 nt
Organism: Dermochelys coriacea (leatherback sea turtle)
Lineage: Eukaryota; Metazoa; Chordata; Testudines; Dermochelyidae
Exons: 3
Source: RefSeq, a predicted model, not a curated record